RNAcentral lists this transfer RNA (90 nucleotides) under Kangsaoukella pontilimi. Its description in RNAcentral is "tRNA-Ser". It matches the Rfam family "tRNA". From Rfam's summary of the family: Transfer RNA (tRNA) molecules are approximately 80 nucleotides in length. Their secondary structure includes four short double-helical elements and three loops (D, anti-codon, and T loops). The record is from RNAcentral. RNAcentral also lists the same sequence under 1 other name. Lineage: Bacteria; Pseudomonadati; Pseudomonadota; Alphaproteobacteria; Rhodobacterales; Paracoccaceae.
GGAGAGGUGCCGGAGUGGUCGAACGGGGCGGUCUCGAAAACCGUUGUUCUCGCAAGGGAACCCAGGGUUCGAAUCCCUGUCUCUCCGCCA